UUCCGGUUGAUCCCGCCGGACCCCACUGCUAUCGAGAUGGGACUAAGGUAUGCUAGUCGAACGACCAGAACUAUGUCUGGGAGUGGCACACUGCUCAGUAACACGUAGCUAACCUACCCUUAGGACGUGGAUACCCCCGAGAAAUUGGGGUUAAUCCGCGAUAGAUGUAAUGUCCUGGAAUGGUAUUACGUCUAAAGGUAUUUCAUACAUGUUUGAAAUAUGCCUAAGGAUGGGGCUGCGGCCGAUCAGGCUGUUGGUGAGGUAAUGGCUCACCAAACCUUUGACCGGUACGGGCCAUGAGAGUGGUAGCCCGGAGAUGGACACUGAGACAAGGGUCCAGGCCCUAAGGGGCGCAGCAACCGCGAAACCUCCACAAUGCACUCACGUGCGAUGGGGCUAUCUCGAGUGCCACCUGAUGAAGGUGGCUUUUCCUUGGUCUUCAAAGCCUUGGGAAUAAGAGGGGGGCAAGACUGGUGUCAGCCGCCGCGGUAACACCAGCCCCUCGAGUGGUGGGGAUGAUUAUUUGGCCUAAAGCGUCCGUAGCCGGCCGUGAAAGUCUUCCGUUAAAUCCAGCGUCUCAAGCGUUGGACCGCGGGAGAUACUACAUGGCUAGAGAGUGGGAGAGGUCAGCGGUAUUCUGGGGGUAGGGGCGAAAUCCUUUGAUCCCCGGAGGACCACCAGUGGCGAAGGCUGCUGACUAGAACACGUCUGACGGUCAGGGACGAAAGCUGGGGUACGAACCGGAUUA
Molecule: ribosomal RNA, 748 nt
Filed under: uncultured archaeon
Lineage: Archaea
Description: bacterial SSU rRNA
Rfam family: Archaeal small subunit ribosomal RNA
Source: RNAcentral